AGCACUUAAUGUUUUAUCAAAAGUCACAAAUUUAGAGUUUAGAGUUAAAGGGUGGGGUUUAGGAUUUAGGGUUUAGGGUUUAGGGUUUAGGGUUUAGAGUUUGGGGUUUAGGGUUUAGAGUUGAGAAAUGAGGUUUUGGGAUAAGAUUUUAAAUUUUGAAAAAUAAAAAAAUUAAAAUUUUCAAAAAAUAAAAUGCUAUUUUGGUCAUUUUAGUUUUUGAGUGUUAUUUUUGUGAUAU
This 238-nucleotide long non-coding RNA is filed under the name Brassica napus (rape). RNAcentral's name for it is "long non-coding RNA (BNAP_LNC009222)". Lineage: Eukaryota; Viridiplantae; Streptophyta; Magnoliopsida; Brassicales; Brassicaceae. The record is from RNAcentral.